CAAGAAAUAAUCAGCUCGAUUCAAAGUCACAAAAACGUGUACGGUUUGAUCCAGAAUGUAAAGAUGAUUUUGAUGAAGAGUCUGAUGGAAUCAGAGGCACACACAUGGAAACUGAUUCAGUAGAUGAGUCUUUGGUGUAUCCUUUGCCCUCUGAUUAUCCUUCUGGGAUUCCAGAUUAUAUGCGAAAUCCUUCAAAAUACACGCGCUACACUUUCGAUUCAUCAAGUGAUGUAGAUGAACAAUCUAACCGGCAAGCCUUUAUGGACUUUCUUAAGAUGCUGAAGAAGUCAAAUACUACAGAAUCACAGCCAGAUGAUGCUCCCUUUGAUCUUCCAAAAUCACUAACCUUCAUACCAAAGAGGAAAGCCCUUGAUACUGAAACAGUCAACAAUCACUCUGAGUCGAAACAAAACCAGGAUGAAGCCAGCAAGGAGUCUAUGCUUAGGAGGGGUUUACCAAUAUGCAUUGCAGCUAGCGAUACAGAAGAUGGCGAAACGUGUGCCAUGGAGGAAGAUGAACCUGAAACAGCAGCUGAGAGGAAAAACAGUUCGCAGAAAUCAGGCCGCAAGUAUCGGACAAAGGCCACCUUGGAAAACGAAUCCAUUUGAGAAUUGUAUUAUCUUCAUUGAGAAACUAUGCUAACUUCUGUAUUAUAGAAACCGUGACUGUAUAAUUAU
This 677-nucleotide unclassified non-coding RNA is filed under the name Hevea brasiliensis (rubber tree). The record is from RNAcentral. Lineage: Eukaryota; Viridiplantae; Streptophyta; Magnoliopsida; Malpighiales; Euphorbiaceae.